CGGACGGGUGAGUAAUGUCUGGGAAACUGCCUGAUGGAGGGGGAUAACUACUGGAAACGGUAGCUAAUACCGCAUAACGUCGCAAGACCAAAGAGGGGGACCUUCGGGCCUCUUGCCAUCAGAUGUGCCCAGAUGGGAUUAGCUAUAGGUGGGGUAACGGCUCACCUAGGNGACGAUCCCUAGCUGGUCUGAGAGGAUGACCAGCCACACUGGAACUGAGACACGGUCCAGACUCCUACGGGAGGCAGCAUG
RNAcentral lists this ribosomal RNA (252 nucleotides) under uncultured bacterium. RNAcentral's name for it is "partial 16S ribosomal RNA". It matches the Rfam family "Bacterial small subunit ribosomal RNA", at positions 99 to 353 of the family's 1533-position model. The record is from RNAcentral.